RNAcentral lists this ribosomal RNA (497 nucleotides) under uncultured bacterium. RNAcentral describes it as "partial 16S ribosomal RNA". It matches the Rfam family "Bacterial small subunit ribosomal RNA", at positions 28 to 507 of the family's 1533-position model. The record is from RNAcentral.
GAUGAACGCUGGCGGCGUGCCUAAUACAUGCAAGUCGAGCGAACGGACGAGAAGCUUGCUUCUCUGAUGUUAGCGGCGGACGGGUGAGUAACACGUGGAUAACCUACCUAUAAGACUGGGAUAACUUCGGGAAACCGGAGCUAAUACCGGAUAAUAUUUUGAACCGCAUGGUUCAAAAGUGAAAGACGGUCUUGCUGUCACUUAUAGAUGGAUCCGCUCUGCAUUAGCUAGUUGGUAAGGUAACGGCUUACCAAGGCAACGAUGCAUAGCCGACGUGAGAGGGUGAUCGGCCACACUGGAACUGAGACACGGUACAGACUAAUACGGGAGGAAGAAGUAGGGAAUCUUCCGCAAUGGGCGAAAGCCUGAAGGAGCAACGCCGCGUGAGUGAUGAAGGUCUUCGGAUCGUAAAACUCUGUUAUUAGGGAAGAACAUAUGUGUAAGUAACUGUGCACAUCUUGACGGUACCUAAUCAGAAAGCCACGGCUAACUACGUG